CAGUCAGUCAUGAUUGUUGCCUUACUGUGCUAUAGAAGUAAAUAACUUUUUGUUCAAUUAUUACCUGGGUAUUGCUCUUAGUCACACAACCAGCAAAAGCCAGGUUCCGGCUGGUUAGUAAGAGAUAAUGCUUGCUCAAAAAUGGAUGUUCUUAGUUGACAAAAUAGACAUUAAUUUUUACACUCUGCAUCCAAAGUUAUUUAUAAUUCUGUAUGCCUGACCGUGAAGUCCUGAAAGUGUUACCGUAGCAAACUAUAAUUCUUGGUCUUAGCUUAGUAAAGUGUUUGCUUUCUCCAAAAUGGUAACUCAUGUUGUUUACAAAGACAGAGGAGCCUCAAGUAUUUACUCCAUGUGCCUGUAAGGCUCAUUCUGACCUGACUUCCCCAGCCCCAAACUGCUAGCCAGCAGAGGUCCUGUUUUUAGUGGGGGACUCAGCUCAGCACCAGGCUGUCACCCAUAGAUAAGAUAGGGCAGGAGAUAAGAAAAUUUACACCAGACACUUCAAGGACUUUGUCCACUGAGGCAUAAAACAGCCAGAGAAAUCUCACAGCUGUUCAUUAAAAUCUUUCCGCCCACUGUCCUCUGCCUUCUCUCCAUCCCUGUAAAAGGGGCCCACUUCUCUCUGUCCCCCGCUUCCUGCCUGCACUCAGACACAGUAAAUUCCAUGCCGUGUUGCCCUCACUCAAGCCAGAAGGUCUCUGCUGCUCUUUGGUCCUAGUGCCAUUCAUCGCAGCUCCUUUCUGGCAGAGCUGAGCUUGCUGCACAGAAAUUGUUUUUAAAGUUAACUUAGUUACUGUGUUUCUCAGUUCAAGUCUACCAUACAGACUGGAUUUGCUUUUGCUCCUCUUGGCUUGCUUUAUGUCUGACUGUAUGCCUUGUAACUAUCUGUCGAAGUUCUAAUGUUUUAGGGUGCUGACUGCUCACUAAGACAGGAUUAAACUUGACAGCAGACUCAGGCUCAAGCUUCUGGCUUCCCUCUGCUUGUGCUCCAGCUCGCUUUGAUGAGAUCUCCCCACCAACCCAAAAUGAAGGAGACAGGCCGGUGGGCUGGCACCUCAAGGCUCUCAAGAUUGAAGGCUGAAAUAAGCAAGGGGGAUAGUGCCAGGCACAGCAAAAUGGAGCUUAAAAGUUAGAAGAGCCUUUUCUUUUGGAAUCCAGAGGCUUCCAAACUUCCUCAAGCCUACGGCAUAAAUGACUCCUGUUCCUCCUACACCAAGACGAAUGGUCAGAAUAUGCAAGGCAAGGAGAGGCUCAGGCCCAAUUUCAUUGCCUUAGGCAAGAGAGAGUCAGGUCUGGGUCUAGGAAGGGACAGAAUUGCCUUAAAAAUGUCUGCUUUCCCAAUGUAUUUUUCUCCUCCAAGAUUCUUUGUGAUAAAAGAGCCCAAGGGACCUGCACAUGGCGAGCUGAUGAUUUAAGGGAAAUAGGCUGCUUUACCUGCUCAGAGCUACCUUUGAAUAAAUCCUUUCUCCUUUCCCCCAAACAUGUGUCCUCCUUUGAUUUGGCCAGUGGGGGGCAGAUGAACCUGAGCGUGUGAACCUCAGUAGCCCAGCCCCACUUCUCUGCUGUUGGGCUUCCACCUGGGUUCAGGAGUUGUUCCAUUGGCUUCUCCUGCUAACCCAGCUGUGAUGGCCAGCACUACACAGCUGUGUGCGGAGUAGUCCUGACUUUAAAAUUACCAGGCAAGUGUCAUGCUUCUUUUUUCCCUGCAUUUAUUACUAAUUUCUGAACUAGCAAAUACUGAAUAUCCUAGGAAUGGCAGUAAGGUUGCCAUUAAGACUGGGUGUUUGUUCUGGCCACUUUCCAAAGUGACCUUCCCAUGUCUCCUGGUUCUAACCACCUGAACAAACAAAGACUUGGGGCACAAAGUCAUCGUCAGCAGGCCGACUUCCUCUUUAUCUCAGACUUAAAGGAUAUAAACUCCUUGAAUAUGAUCCACAUAUGUACUGAUUGGUUACCUCACUUGCUGAAACUAUUUAAAUCAUGCUUUACAAGGACACAAAAUAUGCCAAAAUUAUAGAGGUGUUUGUUUCUCUUUGGGACUCAAGUUGGCUUUAUGCAGUUUUAUACAUUGAUCUUUGAGAGCUGGGAAUUAGCCUCAAAGGAUCAGUAUUGUUGUGGGUAAAUCUAUCAGGGUGAUUCAGCUUCCAACAAGAGAACCCAUAUCAGCAGUGCAGACAAAGGGAGUUUGUUACUGCACGUGGGGAAAGUGUGGGCCAUCCCAGAACCAGUUCAUUUUGUGGCUCAAGUUAGCCAGUCAUUUUUUCUUGGAUUCUCUUAUUUCCCCCUUUUAUUUCCAAGGUGACUUCAUUCUUCGUGGGGCAUUACUAAAAUUGCAAGAAAAAAAGGAAAUCCUGUCUUGCCUCCCCUUUUUAAGAAUUGGGAAGCCUUCCAUAAUAUUUGUAACAGAAAUCUUGUAUUCUUUCCUUCUCCUUCCCUCUUGUCUCUUCUAUGUACACCCUUAUGAUUACAUUGUAUUGUUAAAGGCAUUUUGCAAAUGAAGAAAUAAGCGGAUGAUUGGUUAAAACUAAUGGACACUAGCAUCUUGGGAUAUAUGAACAAAAAUCCCUGAAACUGAUCAUUUGCCUAGAUUAUAGAUAAAAUCAGGUUCUCUUAAACAAGGAUGAAAAAUGGCAGCUUCUGUGUAGAUGACUAAUAUUGUUUACCAUUGCACAAAACCUUUGUUACACUAGGCCAAUAAUAGGGUAUCAUUCAGUGCUAUUUUUGUUCAAACAAUCUGAAAGCCCAAGUGUAACUUGCUUAAGCAACAAAGAGAAUUCACAGGCUUCAGAGAUAUUGCUGGCUUCAGGUGAGAAUGGAUGUAAUGUCCUCAACAGCGUAAUUGAAGAUUUGGCUUUUCUUGGUCUCUCUGCUCUAAAUUUAGAGUAUCAACUUAUUCUGAAGCCUGCUACUAUUCUUGAAGACUUAAUGCCUGCUACUGUCUCCUAGAGCCAACCCUCUUUCAAUCUGGUGUCAAAGAGAAUCUCUCCCUGCAUUGACUGUUGGGAGCCAUUGAAACUGGAAGUUGAACACAUGUACAGGGCUGUGGCAUGGCAGGGGUAUGGUCAACCUAAAAACAAAGAGAAGCCUCAAAGGGCAAAGUAACAUCACAGGUGAGGAUGCCGGGCCCCAACUCCAACUAACUAAAUAAAGACUGUAGAAUUUCACUCCUAUAUGGAGAUCUUCUCCUAAAUUAAAUAGAAUCUGUUAGUUGGCAAAGUCCUUGAACCACUCCUAAGGUCUGUUCAGCUUCCUGUGUUUUUAACUUUAAUCCCUUCCUUGUUUGAAAACUAAAUAAAUAUGGGCCACCCAGAGACACUUCUCAUCUCAGUCCCCAGAGUCUUGAACUCUGCAGAGGGUUUUGAUUCUCCUGGAGCCCUAAAAUCACACCAUUUAUCUCAUUUAUUUUAAGUCUUUGCUGUACACUUAUUUGGGAGAUUGGAGAGCUAGGCCAGGUGCCCGAUAAUUGAAUACAGAAAAAUAGGUAGCAUAUCUUUUCUAUAAACCACAGCAGCUAUCUCUCAUAUCUUAUUGGUUCAUUUACAUUACAAGACCAUCUCUGAAUCAAGGAAUGAGCUAUGCAGUUGAUGUGUAAGAUAUCUGACACUGUCAUUCAUUUCAGCAAUGCAGUUUAUAUCAGUAACUUUCUGAGAGAAAUGAAACCAGGAAGAUAAAUAAAUGAAUAAAUAAAGGACCCACCCAUUAUUAUAGGAGUCUCAUAUUGCAGGCAUUUUCCUAAAAAUAUUUUUAAUAAAUUGAAUAAUUAUUGUUUAUAAGAUAAAGCAAAUAAUGAAAAUUAAAUUCGUGCAAGGCAUAUAGUGAAAAUAACACCAAUAUUGAAAUUCUAACAUGAUAAAAAUAAUUUAAGAUGUAAUUCACUAGUUUUGACAAAGAUUAAAAAGUUACUCAUUAUGACAUGUUGAUAUUGGAGAUAUGCAAUUAAUUUUUUUGGUUGCAGAAUUAACAGGUGGGUAUGCGGGAGCAGGCCUGUGAUCCCAGCAUUCCAGGGGCGGUGGCAGGGGAUUGCCAAGAGUUUGAGGCCAGCCUGAACUACACAAAGAGACUUUGUCUCAAAACAAAGCAAAACAAAACUAACAAUUACUUUCAAAGACUUUGACACCAUUUGAAGAGAGUUUUAAAAAUACUUUUUAGUAUUCAACAGUAUGUAAUGCUAACAUGUCAGCAUUUUUAGCAUGAUUACCGUAUACAUCAUGAAGUUAAAAUAUUACUUAUAUAUUCUAAAAUGUACCCUUGAACAACUUAAUAGGAUCUAAAGGCCAGAAUAGGGAAUUGUGAAUCAUUAUUCAUACAUUAAGAAAUACAAGGAGGAAAAGCAGCUUCGGAGGGAAGUAUGGAGAAAGGGUCUUACACUCACAUGGGUGCACCCCACAAUGAUUUCUUAAAAUUUGGGGCAAAUCAGCUUCCUGUGUAUCAGUCUCUCUAUUCAUGAUGUAAAAGCUGGAUUGGAGGCAGUAACUCAGUGGUAAUAUGCUUGGACUUAUUCAAUUCUCAAGAGCACAAAUAAUAAUAAUUUACAUAAUCAAUAAAUAUUGACCCAAAUUGUAGACUUGUAGGAAUAUGUUAGGGAUUUUUGAACUUCUGGGAAUGUUUUAAACUAUUUGGACACUUCACAUGUCCAAAUGUAUUGUGUCAUUCAUUUUUGAGUUGACAUUUCAGCUCCUUAUGUCUUCCUUUGCAUUUAUGUUUCCCACAGUGGACACCAGUCCAUGCCAUAUUUGUUAAGCAAGUUCAGAGGCCAUGAUUGUGAUUAUGGCUCUGCUUCUCCAUCAGGUGGAUGAUUUGGAGCGAAUGGCUUAUUUAGUACCCACUCUCAUGGUGUUACUAGACACCAAAACUAUUUGUCAGUCCUCUCUUAGAAAGCAAAGUCCAAAGGAACUAAAAGUGGGUAGAAAUAAAUUAACAGGACUUUAGCUUGUUCAGCUUCUGAAAAUUUUAAACCUUAUUGAUGAGAAACCAAAGAAUUGUACAAGUGAACUUGGAGCUUUGUGACAUCAUGAUAUGUAGACUUCUAAUUUUUGUGCACAUUUCCUGAAUGAUAGUACCCUCCCCUGGGCAGAACAGAGAAACUGGAAUUUUUCUUCCUGAGACAAAUCAUUGAAAUCCUGAUUUGGAGCUCUUGGUCAUAAAGAAAUUCCUUGCUUGCCUUUGUGAUAUUAGUGAUAAGACCCUACCCACCCUUCAGAAGGGGUAAUACCCUACUCAAUGAAGAAGGAAUGUGAAGAAUCCAGACAGACAGGCCUUACUGGGUUUCCCCACUCAGACUAUCAGCAUCAAAUUGGACCCUUUUUUUCUCUAAUAAGAUUUCCCAAGCAAUGCAUUUUCUAUGCAACUCCAAAGGGUAAUGUUGGGUGAGGUUCUGUAUCCUGGACACGUGGAAGUGCUGGAGGGUGUCCCCUGGAGAGGACCUGGGAGCUCAGUGUCCUGCUCUCCUAGUUUACCCUACACUAAUCUCUUCAUCUGUACCCUUUGUAAUAUCCUUACUAAUAAACUGUAAUUAUUUCCCUAA
This is a long non-coding RNA of Cavia porcellus (domestic guinea pig), 5524 nucleotides long. RefSeq lists it as uncharacterized. The record is from RefSeq and is a predicted model, not a curated record. NCBI's taxonomy places the organism in Eukaryota, Metazoa, Chordata, Mammalia, Rodentia, Caviidae. The transcript has 2 exons.